GACGAACGCUGGCGGCGUGCUUAACACAUGCAAGUCGUACGGUAAGGCCCUUUCGGGGGUACACGAGUGGCGAACGGGUGAGUAACACGUGAGUAACCUGCCCACAACUUUGGGAUAACGCUAGGAAACUGGUGCUAAUACUGGAUAUGUGCUCCUGCUGCAUGGUGGGGGUUGGAAAGCUCCGGCGGUUGUGGAUGGACUCGCGGCCUAUCAGCUUGUUGGUGGGGUAGUGGCCUACCAAGGCGGCGACGGGUAGCCGGCCUGAGAGGGUGACCGGCCAAAGUGGGACUGAGAUACGGCCCAGACUCCUACGGGAGGCAGCAGGGGGGAAUAUUGCACAAUGGGCGCAAGCCUGAUGCAGCAACGCCGCGUGCGGGAUGACGGCCUUCGGGUUGUAAACCGCUUUCAGCAGGGACGAAGCUUUUUGUGACGGUACCUGCAGAAGAAGCACCGGCUAACUACGUG
This 465-nucleotide ribosomal RNA is filed under the name uncultured bacterium. Its description in RNAcentral is "partial 16S ribosomal RNA". It matches the Rfam family "Bacterial small subunit ribosomal RNA", at positions 28 to 507 of the family's 1533-position model. The record is from RNAcentral.